GGUGAACGCUGGCGGUAGGCCUAACACAUGCAAGUCGAACGGCAGCACAGUAAGAGCUUGCUCUUACGGGUGGCGAGUGGCGGACGGGUGAGGAAUACAUCGGAAUCUACUUUUUCGUGGGGGAUAACGUAGGGAAACUUACGCUAAUACCUCAUACGACCUACGGGUGAAAGCAGUGGAUCUUCGGACCUUGCGCGAUUGAAUGAGCCGAUGUCGGAUUAGCUAGUUGGCGGGGUAAAGGCCCACCAAGGCGACGAUCCGUAGCUGGUCUGAGAGGAUGAUCAGCCACACUGGAACUGAGACACGGUCCAGACUCCUACGGGAGGCAGCAGUGGGGAAUAUUGGACAAUGGGCGCAAGCCUGAUCCAGCCAUACCGCGUGGGUGAAGAAGGCCUUCGGGUUGUAAAGCCCUUUUGUUGGGAAAGAAAAGCAGCAGGUUAAUACCCCGCUGUUCUGACGGUACCCAAAGAAUAAGCACCGGCUAACUUCGUG
This 492-nucleotide ribosomal RNA is filed under the name uncultured bacterium. RNAcentral describes it as "partial 16S ribosomal RNA". It matches the Rfam family "Bacterial small subunit ribosomal RNA", at positions 28 to 507 of the family's 1533-position model. The record is from RNAcentral.